GACGAACGCUGGCGGCGUGCUUAACACAUGCCAGUCGAACGGAAAGGCCCCUUUGGGGGUCCUCGAGUGGCGCACGGGUGAGUAACACGUGAGUAACCUGCCCUUGACUUCGGGAUAACUUCAGGAAACUGGGGCUAAUACCGGAUAGGAAUCCUUGCUGCAUGGUGGGGGUUGUAAAGCUUCGGCGGUUUUGGAUGGACUCGCGGCUUAUCAGCUUGUUGGUGGGGUAGUGGCUUACCAAGGCUUUGACGGGUAGCCGGCCUGAGAGGGCGACCGGCCACAUUGGGACUGAGAUACGGCCCAGACUCCUACGGGAGGCAGCAGUGGGGAAUAUUGCACAAUGGGCGGAAGCCUGAUGCAGCAACGCCGCGUGCGGGAUGACGGCCUUCGGGUUGUAAACCGCUUUCAGCAGGGGCGAAGCUUUUGUGACGGUACCUGCAGAAGAAGCACCGGCUAACUACGUG
This 464-nucleotide ribosomal RNA is filed under the name uncultured bacterium. RNAcentral's name for it is "partial 16S ribosomal RNA". It matches the Rfam family "Bacterial small subunit ribosomal RNA", at positions 28 to 507 of the family's 1533-position model. The record is from RNAcentral.